This is a long non-coding RNA of Peromyscus maniculatus bairdii (prairie deer mouse), 431 nucleotides long. RefSeq lists it as uncharacterized. Lineage: Eukaryota; Metazoa; Chordata; Mammalia; Rodentia; Cricetidae. The record is from RefSeq and is a predicted model, not a curated record.
CCCACAGACCCUUGCAGCUUUUCAUGGGGAAAGGAAAUGCUCCGCGCAUCCCCAUGUCUCGGCUGCCACUUCAGUGCCUGAGAUGAAUUCAUUGUCACAAUAUAGGUAGUUCAGAGCUCAGCUGUCUAGCUGGAAACCUCUGAGGCAGAGAGCUCUGUCCUCACUUCCGUCACUCAUUUGAGAAUUCUUCAUUGCAGAAAGUUAUACCUCUGGAUUACAGUCUAGAAAGAACAAAAGGCCAAGGCCAAGACCAAGAUGGAGAGACAGGAGGACAGAGGAAAAAGUUACCACUGAAGUGCUCACAUCUCACAGUGACAGACCGACAAAAGAAGUGAAAAAAGACUGCGUGGUGACCAGUGCUCAGCUGAAAUCAUCUACAGGGAGGGAACAUGUAGAAGAAAGGAAUCUCAGUUCGGGGGAGAGGGCUAGAA